Pezoporus flaviventris is the source of this 7265-nucleotide long non-coding RNA. RefSeq lists it as uncharacterized. The record is from RefSeq and is a predicted model, not a curated record. NCBI's taxonomy places the organism in Eukaryota, Metazoa, Chordata, Aves, Psittaciformes, Psittacidae. The transcript has 14 exons.
UGCAUUGAAGUCUCUUUCGGGUAGUACCGACAUAAGAAAUACUCUGUAUUCCUUAACGGAGAAACUCACUGCCAAAGCAGGAAUGCAAGUGAAACGUUGUAGCCACACUAACAGUUCCUGUGAAUUUCCCAGAGCAAAACUCUAUCUGUAGAUCCUGAUGGGGAAUUCCCUCCCGACAGCAGUACCAGGUAACAGUACCAAGCUUGCUUUCAUGCCGAGCUUAAAUUCUCAGGAAACAAAGACAAGAAACUUCGAUCUGGAAGUUUCUGUCUCCCCCCGCAGCACUCUGUUGCCUUCCCGCUGCAGCGGGCGAUGCGGUUGGAAUACCCUGCGUUUGCCAGGAAAGCGCAGUGCAGGGGGAGGCGGCGUUGCCCCCGCUGCCCCGGUUCCCGGUGCCAGCCCCGACGGCCCCGGCAGCGGGAGCCUCGGUGGCAGCGAAGAGGAAAAACGCAACCCCUAAACGAGCGGGAAUAACUUCCUCUCCUGAAUGCCUCCCAUCGCCCCCCUUUCAACCCCCGUAUUUAUUUAUACAUAAACAUAUAGACAUAAAUAUUUGUAAACCAGGCAGUUGCGAAAUGCAGCUAUUAAAUAACCUUUUUUUUUCUUAUAUAAAGAAAAAACAACACCCCAACACCCCACACAAGCCAUAAUGAUGAUGAUGAUGAUGACGGGAGGGGGGGAAAUAAAUAAAUAAAAGCGAGCGAGAGUCGGCGACGGAGCGGGAGGCAGGUUCAAUUAUCUAAACAAAGAAAUCAUGGCGGAGUGUUUACAUUUGGCAGCCCAAAGCCUGUUGGAUUACGGACCCCCCCCAAAACCCAACCGGCCCCCCCCGGCUCCCCGCCGUCUCGGCUCGCCGGAGCCCGCCCGCCGACACCUCGCCGCGGCCCGGAGUCUGAACCAGCUGCUUCAAAGAGACCUUCCCAGUGAAAACCUGAGCUGGGAAUUUCUAAGGCUGUUGGUGAGGACAGGAGAAGGAACAGAUGGUGGCACCAUCCCGUCUCUGCACCAAAUACUGCCCUGGAGUUGUACGUGUUGUGAAAAGCAUCCCCUUGUGGAAAAGCAGAUAGUGCUCCUGCAGAGGGAAGCUCUAUCUUGAAGUAUUCUUCACUAUGAGAUCUCUACUUAAAAAUAGCAUUUUCUUACUAGUUCCCUGUGAAUCAUACCUGCACACCUUAAUGAUGAGAUCCCAAGUGGAGGAUCCCCCGUGACGAACCCAACUGCCAGGACCUGAUGUAGAGCGGGGGGCUGCCUGCGGGUGCUGAGCUGCAGCAGAGUGAGCAGAUUCUGGGGCUCUCAUAUUGGCAGAUCAGUGUAGUGGAUUUGUACAGCUGAGGGACAACUAUCCGUGAAUUUCCAGGUCAUGUAACCUUGCUCACUCUUGUGGAAAGCCUGAGGAGCUCCAGGAGGAGUUUAAAGAAGAGAUCUUCCUCUCUUGUUCAGUGAAGGGAUCUCCCUCUCCCACAAAGGCACCACUGUCUUUGCAAUGCACUCUGGCAUUCUUGAAGAGUUAGAAGAGGACUGUAAUUGAAGAGUUCAUUACCAAGAUCAGUUGGCUCCUUGAUUACAGUGGCAAGGUGAAAUAUAUCCUCACCAAAAAGCAACUGCGAAACCUUUAGAGAAGUCACCCACUUUUCACUCUUUUUCAUUAGGACCCCGACAAGCUUGUCAGCAAAAUUAAAGGUUCAUGUCAGCCUCCAUCUCGCAAGGCUCUGUAGGAAAGCAGCGCGCAGCAAGUGGACCUGGGCUGCAGAAGCACCUACCAGGCCCUAAACUCAUGCAGGUGGUAAAACACUGGCUGCCGUGAACUUCAUGUUAAAAAUAAGAAAGAAGAGAAAGCUGGGGUUUGGAGGCAAACUGCAGGCUUGGAAUGUUGUGGCUGCUGAAAUCACUGCAAGGAUAAUAGGGCAUGCAUGCAUUUGUGGAUAAUUCCGUUUGCUAAUUGCUCAUGAAAUUUCAGGUUGAGAGUGAAGAAGGGAAUCUUCUAGGUGUCUGCAUCUUGAAAAACAGGAGCUGCAGUGAUUGCUUCCUGUCUAAACGUGCUGUACUGCUAGAAGGGCCUGGCCUGGUAGGUGACUACAGGGACCUGACUCCAGUUUUCCUGGACCAAGAAACAAAACAGGAAGACAGCCUGCUCUACCCUAGAACACUGAAUGGUCAUUGAAACCAAGCUCAGGACAGCUCAACCUUGUCAAACUUCUUUCUCAGGUCUUCUGAAGAAGAAAUUCCUCUGGAGUGUUCCUCAGCCACUCUGCAAUAUGGUUCUCUGGGUCAGGUUGUGAACAGUGUUGGUAGUAAAGCAGGCUGGCCAGCUGGGCCUGCUGGGGUUCCCUUAAAAUAACAUUUGUCCCAAGCCUUUUCACAGGCUUUUACUGGACCUAUUCAGUGUCUCAUUUAGGUGUGAUGCUCUGUGAUGUUCAGCAAGUGGCUGGUGACAGCAAAACCUGUUGUGUGACUGUAAGAUGGUUGUUCAUUCCUACAGCUGACAGCAGCACCACGGUGGCAUAUUCAGCCUUUAAGGCUUGCUUUUCCCUGGGAGCUGCAAGGAUGCCCUGAAGGGUGUCUAACAUUCUCCUGCAUCCAGAAUGAAUUAGGUAAUGUUGAUCCAGGUGAGGUGGACACCAUGAGACAACCCCUUUCCAUAAGUACCAUGCACUUGACAGAAACAGGUGGGAGGGAGAGCAGCCUUCAGCUCUCUCACCAUCAGAAAAGGCAGAAAAAGGCAAGACAAAGAUAGUUUAUGUGCAGCUGAGGCAGCUCUCAGAACUGAAUGUGUCUGUGAUUUAAUAACACAUCUACACAGAACGACACUUCUAAAAUUCACUGAGAGAAAAGCAGCAGAGCAGGAUGGGGCCACAACCAGCCCACAGUGCAUUACUUCUGCAACCACAAACAGCUGAACUACCAGGUAUUUAUUUUUCUAUAUGAACAGUUGUUAGAAGAGGAUGAAAAUUCUUCUUUGACACUCUUGAUGGAGACAAGGAAAGGCCUGUGCUUCCCCCAGCUCCCGUGGUCCUGAUGAGAAACAGCUCACAAAUUCCAAUAAAUAGAAAAUAGAAAUAAACACUUUAACUGCAUGGCAUAGGGUUUUGAAUGGCUUUCUGAAUCGGAAAGUGCUGCUCGUACGUCUUUGUUACUUCCACACUCUGUAAUGCUGGCUCUCCAAAAGGCAGAGACAAAGUGAGAUAGAUACCACAAGGAUCGCAGACACUACACUGGAAAACCAAGUAUCAGUGGUACAUCCAGAUUUAUGGUAGGGGAUGGCAGUAAAGUGAAAGCAAAACUGUUUGCACAGUCUGUGGUGUUGCCCAUUACUGUGUAUUUGGCCUUUUUUCUUGCUUAGCUACAGCUGAAGGAGUGGAAAAUUGUACCUUAUAUACAGUAUUAGGAGCCACUUUUUGGUCGUAAGGUCAAUCAGACUAGUUUACCUGCUUGAGGUAUUUAUGGCACAAUCACUCAGUGUCUUUAAGGAAAGGUUAGAUACAUUUAUGGGAAAGGUCUUUUGCAGAAGCCUUCCUGUUUCAUAGAGGUCUUGGACAAAAUGACCCAGGAGACCCCUUCCAAGUCUAUCAAAUGUGGUUCCUUGAUUGAUGCUGUUUCCCCCCCAAGUCUUUUGAAAACACCAAGCACUGUUAUAAAAUUUAAUAUGAUACACUAUAUAACUCUAACACAAUGCCAUUUCCUUAUAGGAGAUGGGUAGCUGCUAGCACAGGAGCCUUGUGCAGGAGGAAGGAAAGAAGAAAGACGAAAUUGCAGUGCAGUUUCUCUGCCAAGGGAUAUCGACUAUAACAUUUACACUGUUCCUUAGUGUGGAGCCUCAUCUAUGCAGGAGGAAUAUCAUGUCAUGGAGGCAUAUAAGCAACCCACACUGUAGUAUAUAUUUCUCCAGAAGAACCUAACAGGGCCUGAAGUGAUUUUGUGUGCUGUGCAGUAGGCAUUCCCUUAGUGCUGGAAAGCAAAUGGACACCCAGCUCUCCUUAUAAAUAACUGCUUGGUGCUAUAAUCAGCUGGGCAUAAUGUGGAGGCCAGAAACAGGAGUGUCCAACCCCCCCGCUGUACCCACAGGGCCUGUCCUCUAUCUGUGCUCUGCAACCCUUCCGUGGUUACAAAUGGCCAGAGUGAAAGCAACACAAAAUAUUUCCAGGUCCACCAAACCAGUGAGUAAAUCUGUAUCGUGUUUCUCACUGUUAUCCUUGUUAUUUUUCCAAUUUGAGGAGAGAUGCUUUAGCUUAAUGUUCCCUAAAUUGACUAUUUCUUUUUAGCCCUUCAAACUUUUAACGUAUUUAAAAGUUUAAGUCAACUCAAUAAGGAUUUACUCUCAAAACCAUUUUAGUUUUUACCUUUUUAUUUUCACUCCAGCUGAUUUACUUAAAGGCCAAACUCCUCUUCCAAAAAGCAACCCCCGUCUUCUUGGGACGGCUCUGUCAGGAAAUAACACCACCCAUACACACACACUCCAGAGCCUUUUGAAGUCUCACAUACAUGAGCUGUUCCAUUUUGCAGGGCAGACCAGGAUUAACUCUUUUAUUAACCUUCUAACCUCAUCCAUGAGAAGGAAAACCAGCCGAACCUCAUUUGGAACUUGCAGCCUUCCUUACCUAAACACUUGUGAGCUCAGACACCCUACAGAUGGGAGCAAAAUGAGGACCAUUAAUGAUGAUUUCCCUAGGGAGCUCCCUGAUUUUGGACCCUCCCAUUAUGUUGCACUCAGUGUCAAUGGCUAUCCCUAAAAGCUUCUGUUUUCACUUGGAAAUGUUUUGCCAUUACCAUGAGGCUUGGGUCUGUUUGAAUCAUAUUUAUAGGGGCAAAUAUUGACCUUCUUGUCCUUCUCCACAUGUUGCAUCAAUGUGUUUUCCCUGAUCCCUACGUCAAAAAACAAGGCACUUCUAGCAAAUGACAAAUCUGACCUGGCUUGAAUCCUGGCAGUGCUACAAUUGCUCAUCCUUAGCUCUCACUUCAUCCCGGCAUCACAGCGCAGAGUAAGACACUCAUGUCAGGAUAGCUCUUCUCACUGGAGUCACAAUGGUAAAAAUUAGCCUUGGGUGAGUGACACGAGCAGAAAUUUCAAAGGCAGGAAAAUUUAUCUCCUGCUCUUUGUCUUACAGUGUGGUGCAUGUCAGUGGUUGGAAGAUUUAGCUUCCAAGCAUCCCGUAUAUAUAAAUCCUAGUGGACAACCGCUCUCCAGCUUCUCUUUUUUGAGCUCAGCAGCUGGAAUCUGCCAGGGAAUGAGGGCUGAAAUAAGGAUGGAGGAAAACUUUCCUAUGGCCUUCAGGUGUUGGUCAAGGGUCGAGAUUAGGAAACAGCUAGAGCAAAACAAAACUCUCUCAGCUAUGUCUCCUUACUGUGUUAUAGAAGGUCAUGGCUAUUUGGCAUAAGGACCGUGAGUUUUGGGCCAGCCCUGUCUCUCUGCUGUAGCUUAGACCAUUAACUGCUUUGAUGAUACAGUCCCUCUUGGGGUUUCUCCUUCUGAAAGACUUAUUCUUGGUUUAACUCUAAUACAGAUGCUCCACUUUAGAUUUUAGGAGGCCAAAACACAAUGAGGAAGGCAAAAUACCUCUCAGGUUCCUGGUAAAAGCCUUCAAAUACCACUUUGAUGAGCACUUUCCAGCUGCUCUGCUGGGUAAACAGACACAGAGUAAACAGCUCUAACGUGCAGGGAUGGCCCUUGCACCAAAAGGCAGAGAAGAAAAGGCAAUGGGAAGAGUAAAAGGCAGGCAAUGAUGGAUCCAACUGAAUUUCUGCCACUUUUGAUCUUUGGAAAUGGGAAAACCCAUUCAGGGUCACAGAUUUCCAGACCGGGGUAUAUGCACCAUUACUUGUGCCACAAAGCAGAGAUGCUUUGCCUGGCCCAAAAAAAAAGCUGUUCUUGUGAGUUCUCUGGGGUGCAGGGACUUGAUUUCCCAGUUUUCAGUUAAUAAUUCAAUGCUUAUACAUAAAUAACAGUAAUAAUAAUCAUAACAAUACCUGCCUCACCAUUAUGUUGUACUCAGCCUUUGUGAUGCCUCUCUCACGAUAAAAUCUGUCUAUUAAACAUUUUAAUUGAAACUCUUAAUAAAACAGAGCUAUUUUAACUUGUGCAGUUACAUUCACAUCAUGAUCAGAAAGCACUUUACAGAAUCAAAUUGAAGUAGCCAGCCUGAUCCGUGUACAGAAGCAAACACCGUCAUUGUGCAUCUCAGUUGUACGUAACAAAGCUGUCAUAUGGACAAUGAAUUGUCCAGCAUACCAUAUCUGGGGGUUUGUGUUGCAUCCAAAAAGGUCGGGGUUUGUCCUUAGGCUUGUGCUAAAAAUCCCUAACGCCAUCCCAAGCGACACAGCGAGAGGGGACUGGAUGGGCUCACCUCCUAGACAAGAAGAGCAGGCUGCCGCCAGGAGGGGUAGGGAACAGUCACGCCUCAUUAUCAGGAGCCCUGGUUCAGAAGGAAAGAAGAACAAAGGUUACAAUUUUCCUGGUUUAGGAAAAAAAAAAGCCAUGGAAUUCUUGAUGUGCCGCGGUGCUGAGUACUGAGCAGCCGCCGUGGGGUCACCGAGAGAGGACAAGGCAAAGGCUGGUAAUGCAAGCGCUCACGUUAAAUGAUGCCUCCCGAGGUCUGGAAGGGGUCUCAAGCUUUGGGCCUUGUAAUAGGUAGUUCUGGAGCUCAGAGUGCUUUGUUCCCUCUUGUAUAAUUGAUAAAUUACCAUUGUUAGUACUAAACAAUACUGCCGAGCACAGAAUGGAAACACGCUAACGCUUUAUCCAUCUUAAGCAAUUCUGCUCAUGUGCUCAUACUGUUCUUAAAUGCGCUAGAUAUUUGUUUGAUGAAACAAUAAGUUUUAGAAAAGGGAAAAAUAAGAACUUUAAAGAUAAUCAAAACCUUGACUCCAUACUUUACCACAGGCAGCUGUGAAUAAGCUUCAGUACUCUUUAUUUUUAACAUUCCAGAUAUGUAAUUUAAUGCAGGUCUAAUGACAGUCUCGAACGUACUGCUUUAAUCGAAAUUGUUCAAGCUCUGUUCUGUGACAAGGGCUCACAAGCUACCAGCAGGGUUGUCCAUUUUCCCCGCUUCUGUAAGGAAAAGAAAAGGGAGGGGAGGGGGACACUCUUGAACUUAUGUUGCUAUUGAUGUGUAAUAUACAAUAAAAAAACAGUUAAAUUUCAAUUACCCACAGGUAAUUAUAAUUUUAUUGUUUGACUGUGCCAUGGGGAUUUUUGUAAUUCCCCAGCCUAAUAAUUUUCUGUAAUUUUACAGGUUGUCAAAUAAACUAUUAAAGAUUAUCUUUGAAAAGGA